UUUUGCAAGAUACAAAUGAGUAUCAUCUCUUUGGAAAUGUUGAGUGCAACUGACUCAGAGGUUGCCUUGCACCGAGCUCCUUUCUUGUCAUAUGCAAAACAAUGUCAAAAUGAUUCGGCUCAUUUCUGUUCCUUCGUCACUGAAGUCAUUCGUAGCUUUUUGGAUCAAUAGUGGCUGAGGGAGUUGCGAACAAAUUGCUAAAAUGGAACCACUGGCUGUGCUUCGGUCAACAAGCUUCUCUCUGUUUGUCACUAUGUUGUUAGUGUACGCAGUGCACAUCAGCGGGGACACACUUUGAAAAAUGAAAUCAACCGAUAAAAAGUGAGUCAAUCGACCACCCCUACUGUGGACGAAAAAGGAUCCCUGCUCUUGUUUGUGCUGCAGUCAUAAUAGGAAGUAAAGAACCUUUUCGUGCAGUGACAAUUUCAAAAGUCUGAGGAGCCGCUUUUUCUCCCGCUGUGCAGCAAGAACAUCUCACAAUUUGGAGAAAGACAAGACUUUCACCUGUUUCAUCCGCCAGCUGCCGUCUGUGUUCCUCUGGUGGCUUCCAAACAGGAAAUCAGGUGAGAGCUACAGGAAAUUUCAUUAUUAGAUGCAAUGAAAAAAAAAAACAACGUAAAAAAAAAAUUAUGACACAAUCUGGGGCUCAGAACACAGAUAAACAUCCAUCCAUCCAUUUUCAACACCGCUUAUCUUGAACAGAGUCGCGGAGAGUUGCUGGAGCUGAUUUCAGCUGACUUCAGGCGAAAGGCAGACUACAUCCUAAACUGGUCGCCAGCCAGUCUCAGGGCACAUAUCGAGACAAACAACCAUUCAUAGCCACAUCCAGACCGCCACUGAGUGGGAAUCGAUCCCCACGCUGCCUGUACACAAGCCAGGCGAGUGCAUCACUACAUCAGCGACUCAAGAGUUGAAAUAAUUCACUGCUUUUAGUUCCAAUGAAAUCUUCAAGUGUAAAAAGACUUACUGUGAACAUAUUCAUCACCUACGAGCAUUUGAAACCCAAAUUCUCAUCCAGUUUGCCGCUUGUGGGGCCUUUAUGUCGACUCAUGUCACGACGAUACUCCUUGU
Hippocampus zosterae (dwarf seahorse) is the source of this 1071-nucleotide long non-coding RNA. RefSeq lists it as uncharacterized. The record is from RefSeq and is a predicted model, not a curated record. Lineage: Eukaryota; Metazoa; Chordata; Actinopteri; Syngnathiformes; Syngnathidae. The transcript has 2 exons.